RNAcentral lists this ribosomal RNA (467 nucleotides) under uncultured bacterium. RNAcentral describes it as "partial 16S ribosomal RNA". It matches the Rfam family "Bacterial small subunit ribosomal RNA", at positions 28 to 507 of the family's 1533-position model. The record is from RNAcentral.
GACGAACGCUGGCGGCGUGCUUAACACAUGCAAGUCGAACGGAGAGGCCUCUUUCGGGGAGUGAGCGGGUGGCGAACGGGCGGGUAACUAGUGAGUAAGCUGCCCUUGACUUUGGGAUAGAUUCAGGAAACAGGGGCUAACAAAGACUAGGAAAUAGUGCUGCUUGGAGGGGGUUGGAAAGUAUGGGCGGUUGGGGUUAGAAUGUCGGCUUAUUAGCUUGUUAGUGGAGGAGUGGCUUACAAAGGCUUAGACUGGUAGCCGGCCUGAGAGGGUGACCGGCCACAUUAGUACUGCGAGACGGCCCAGACGCCUACCGGAGGCAGCAGUGGGGAACAUUGCACAAUGGGUGGAAGCCAGAUGCAGCAACGCCCUGUUCGGGAUGACCGCCUUCGGGUUGUAAACCGCUUUCGCUCAUGACGAAGCUUUGUGUGACGGUAGUUGGUAAAGAAGCACCGGCUAACUACGUG